GGAGCGGGCUGCGCGGCCGCGCGCGGACUUGCGCCGCGGGAGGAAAGUCCGGGCUCCGCAGGGCAGGGUGGUGGAUAACGUCCACCGGGGGCGACCCCAGGGAAAGUGCCACAGAAAACAGACCGCCCCGGAUCUCGGUUCGGAGCAAGGGUGAAAAGGUGCGGUAAGAGCGCACCAGCGGUCCGGGUGACCGGACCGGCUUGGUAAACCCCACCCGGAGCAAGGCCAAGUAAGGAGACGCUCGAGGGCGGCCCGCCCGAUGUCUCCGGGUCGGCUGCAUGAGGCGGAGGGCAACCUUCGUCCCAGAUGGAUGGUCGCGGACCCGCCCCCGGGCGGGUAACAGAACCCGGCUUACAGGCUCGCUCCGGUU
This 370-nucleotide RNase P RNA is filed under the name Nitrospinota bacterium. RNAcentral's name for it is "RNase P RNA component class A". It matches the Rfam family "Bacterial RNase P class A". Rfam says of the family: Ribonuclease P (RNase P) is a ubiquitous endoribonuclease, found in archaea, bacteria and eukarya as well as chloroplasts and mitochondria. Its best characterised activity is the generation of mature 5'-ends of tRNAs by cleaving the 5'-leader elements of precursor-tRNAs. Cellular RNase Ps are ribonucleoproteins. The record is from RNAcentral. Lineage: Bacteria; Pseudomonadati; Nitrospinota.